This 467-nucleotide ribosomal RNA is filed under the name uncultured bacterium. Its description in RNAcentral is "bacterial SSU rRNA". It matches the Rfam family "Bacterial small subunit ribosomal RNA", at positions 334 to 793 of the family's 1533-position model. The record is from RNAcentral.
CACUCCUACGGGGGGCAGCAGUGGGGAAUAUUGUCACAAUGGGCGCAAGCCUGAUGCAGCCAUGCCGCGUGUAUGAAGAAGGCCUUCGGGUUGUAAAGUACUUUCAGCAGUGAGGAAGGUGGGUAUGUUAAUAGCAUAUUCAUUUGACGUUAGCUGCAGAAGAAGCACCGGCUAACUCCGUGCCAGCAGCCGCGGUAAUACGGAGGGUGCGAGCGUUAAUCGGAAUUACUGGGCGUAAAGCGCAUGCAGGUGGUUUGUUAAGUCAGAUGUGAAAGCCCGGGGCUCAACCUCGGAAUUGCAUUUGAAACUGGCAAACUAGAGUACUGUAGAGGGGGUAGAAUUUCAGGUGUAGCGGUGAAAUGCGUAGAGAUCUGAAGGAAUACCGGUGGCGAAGGCGGCCCCCUGGACAGAUACUGACACUCAGAUGCGAAAGCGUGGGGAGCAAACAGGAUUAGAUACCCUGGUAG